Molecule: RNA transcript, 1337 nt
Organism: Erpetoichthys calabaricus (reedfish)
Lineage: Eukaryota; Metazoa; Chordata; Cladistia; Polypteriformes; Polypteridae
Gene name: mannose-binding protein A-like
Exons: 6
Source: RefSeq, a predicted model, not a curated record
GGUUUGUUGUACCAUAGGCAUAUAACAUGUCCUGUCUCAUUGCCCAGCUUUCUGAAGAAGUGACGAGUUGUAGGAGCCUCCCUUCUGCAGAAGUAAAGAAUUCUGACUUUGGAUAACUGGUACUGAUCUCCAAAAAUGAAACUGCAUAGCCUCAUCCUGACAUCAGCUAUUCUCAUCACAGCCAUCUGGUCUUGUCUAGCCGAGGAGCCCACAAAGACGACCUUCUGUAUAGAUACGCCAGGAAUGAAUUUAAGAGAAGGAAGACCUGGGCCGCCUGGCCUGAAAGGAGACAAGGGAGACACAGGGAGAAUUGGAGUACAGGGCCCUCCUGGGAUCAUUGGACUUCCAGGUCCACCGGGAACGAAUGGAGACACAGGACCUCCUGGAUUCCCAGGACAGGCAGCUGACAUGCGCCGCAUUACAAAACUGGAAGCAGAAAUUCAAGCUUUGAAGACCACGAUUUCCAAUCUUGAAAAACGUAUGCAGUUUAUCUACUGGAGCAAUCACGGCCAAAAGAGAUUUGGCACCAAAAACGACCAGCUAACCUUUGAUGAUGGAGUGAAGCUCUGCAAGGAAGCCAGUGGAGAAAUUGCAAUGCCAGCAAAUGCAGGAGAGAAUGAGGCCUUAAUGAAGCUUGUGAAAUCUUCCGAGGCAUACCUUGGGCUGAACGACAGGGUGAAAGAAGGCAGGUUUGAAGAUGUCAGUGGGAAUCCCGUGACAUUCACAAACUGGAAAUCAGGGGAGCCCAAUAAUUACAAUGGGAAUGAGGACUGCUCUAUAAUAACAUCUGAUGGGAUUUGGAAUGACGUUCCGUGUAGUCGGAGUUAUACCAUAAUUUGUCAGUUUCAGUAAAAUGGGAUGGAAGGAAGUCCGAUGUAGACGUAAGAUGUCUGCACGUUUGUUCAGAUAUUUGUUCAGCACACUCUCUGUACAGCUUGUCAUGAGUAUUCAACGUCUUAUUUCACACAGAGCUAUGGUUGUUCUUGACUGCGAUUACACCUGCAGCGUGUUGCACCCUCUUCUACAUUCUCGUACGUCACUGUGUCUGUGGGUACGCCUACUUCAUCUGGUUUUCCUUCAUUCGUCAUUGACACUUUCAAGUCAACACUUGUGAUCCUUUUAGGUUUUUUUCAAAUAUUUCAACAAAUUUUGUUUUUGCGAGACGGCCAUGAAAACAAAAUCAGCCGAUUCAAGGACAAAUCGAGAGAAUCGUUCAACAGAAGCUGAGGUCAAACACCAAAGCAGAGAUUGUUAAACUUUAUCCUUGGGGUAAAAACAAGUUCAAAUUCGUUAAUAAAUUCUUGAUCGUAACCAGAAUAAAUCCUUAUUUUUUUUUU